UCAACUUUGGGAUUCCCAGGGCGGAUCCCACAUUUUCAUUUUGACUCAAUUUCAGGUCCAUUUCCAAUUGUUGCAAUUUUAGUGUCAAAAUAUUCGUAAUAACGUUGUGUUUGAUAAUUCGAUAGUUUUGCGGUGAUCGGAGGUGCUUUGGAUGCAAAUAGCUCAUAUGUGGUGGAUUGGGAGCGCUCGUGUUUGGCUUUGAGGUAGGCUUCGAUUUACUUCUUGAUUGGACUUCUAAGAUAAUGCUUCAUAUAGAUUUCAUGUAAUUUUGGAUGGUAUUUUCUAGGUAUUUAGUUUUCCUCUUGUUAUUCCAUCAUUACUUAAUUCCAUAGGAGCCUUGGGUUUAUUGUAGGUGUUGGGAUCCUUAGUUUAGACCGUGGUUCACUUGUAGAGUAGAUGAUCUUGCUUUUCCUUGUAAGGAUUGAUUCGCAGUUGCCUUAGACUAGGUUGGACAUUAGAUGCUUUAAGUUGUGUUUUAUUGCCUCGCGGUUAUAAUUUUCUUCAUUUAGGGCUUAUUUUGGGUCGUUCUCCUUGCGAUGAUGCUUGUGACCUUGGUGGCUCGUCAUAGCCCUAUGUUGGUCCUAACUGUGCUCAGUCUGGGACUUGAGCGACGUGAUUGGGGUAGGGCAUCAUCCUUCGAGUUUUCUCCCUCUUUUAUUGAUUUGAAGUAUCUUCUUGACCCCUUUGCUUGUUGAUUAGUGAUGGGCAUGUUGUAUCCUUAUUGAGCUUAUGAUUAUAUUGUUGGACCUAAGGACAUGUACGAGGACCUGUUGGAUCCCAGGUUAGUACUCUCUGCUUUGGUAGCUUGGUUUCAGUGGUUGUAUAAUUAUUUAAUUUGGAGUGCCUUGUUUAAAUGUUGGUGAUGCAUGUAUUGCAUUGUUUGCUCAUUCUCAUGGAUUUUGUGGUACAAUCCCCGCCCAUGCAUUGGCAUAUUUAUCAUUCAUUAUGAAGUACUAUUUUACUCAAUUUUUAUUCUAAACUGGUUUUGACGGGAGUUGUACCACCUGAAUCACUUGACUUACUGAUUUUUGAGAUUACGAGGCGUCAGAGACGUGCUCUUUUUUCUACUUGAGAUAUUAGAGGCAUCUGGGAUGUGCUCAGUUUUCACUUGAAUAUCCGGCGCAUCGAUGCCCUUUCUUGCAUGCUUUUGGUUUUACUUACACCCCUGGGUCACUCUUGCUAGUUGGGUGGCUUAUGCCCUUGGGAGUGGACUGACUGAUUGGGCAACCUUGAUACUUGGGAUCCUCUUCGGAGUUGACACACCAUUGAGUCACUCUUGCUAGCAGGGAGGCUUAUGCCCCUGGGAGUGGACUGUGUGGCUGGGCGGCCUGGAUUGAUUUGUCACUCUUGCUAGCUGGGCUAGGAAUUGACUGGAGUCAUAUGAUUAUGGUUUUGGAUGGUCCUGUUGCACACCCAACAUCCCUAUGCAUUGCCUAUUACCAAUAUACUUGUUUGUUGUUUGUACCCUCUGGUUUAUGGGGGCCGAUUGGGUUAUGUUUGAUGUUUGUACCUUCCAGGCUUAUGAGGUCCGGUUAGGUUAUUGUUUGACUAUAUUCAGUUCUUUGCUAUUGUUUUAUUGUUACUUGGUAGGUUUUGACUUUAGAAUUGUGGUUGUGUGUCCUCCUAACACUAGCCAGUUGACUUGUUAUCUUAGUUUCUUGCGAUUAGGUUAUUGGCUUACAAUCUAGGUGCGUUCUUGACUCGACUUCUUACCCCUUAUUUUCUAUUUCUAUUCUUUAUUUCCUGAAUACCUUAGCAUAUCUUGUUUAAUUACUUAUGUUAUGCUUUCCUUAUUACUUGUUGUUUAUGCUUGUGUAAUCUUCUGAGCUCAGUUGGCUGUUGCAUGUUGAGUACCGUUUCGGUGCUCAUACUAUACUUCUUCCCCCUGCAAAUUGCUGCAGAUUGCAGUUGAGUUAUUGUCGUUGAUUUGGAGUCAUGCGGAGCAACUUAGGAUUUCAGAGAUUAGGGUGAGCUCCUAGCGUCUGGAGCUACCAAUUUUUGUCUGUUUUGGCUAGGUUUAGUCUUUAUAUUGUAUUCAAAGACAACCUGUACUUCUCUGAUAAUUGUGAAAGACUUGUACUCCUAUUUUGGAUUAGAUGCUCAACUACUAACUAAUGUCAGGUCUUGGGAUGGUUCCUGCAUUAUUUUUGUUGGUUAUCCUUUCUCUGCUUGGUUCUAAGCUCUUACUUCUUAUUGUUGGCAUCCGCUUGGUAGUCCGUCGCUCAUGGCUCCGAGCUACGGGUUAGGCUUACCUUCUGGUGGGGUGUAGUAGGUGCCAUCAUGACUUGAGAAAUUGGGUUGUGACAUCUCUCUUAUCAUCUAAAUGUACAACAUUGGUGAAAUUGUAGUGCAAAUCGUCAUCGACCUAUUCAUUUUCAUUCAUCAAACUAUCAACUAAUGUCAUUCCUAAAGAUUUGUACAACUCCUCCCUUACCCACUCAUAUCUAUUUUCUUGGUUCAUAUACAUGUUUGUAGGAUCAUCUAUUGC
Molecule: long non-coding RNA, 2488 nt
Filed under: Solanum tuberosum (potato)
Lineage: Eukaryota; Viridiplantae; Streptophyta; Magnoliopsida; Solanales; Solanaceae
Description: long non-coding RNA (STUB_LNC010829)
Source: RNAcentral